GAUGAACGCUGGCGGCGUGCCUAAUACAUGCAAGUCGAGCGAACAGACGAGGAGCUUACUCCUCUGACGUUAGCGGCGGACGGGUGAGUAACACGUGGAUAACCUACCUAUAAGACUGGGAUAACUCCGGGAAACCGGAGCUAAUACCGGAUAACAUGUUGAACCGCAUGGUUCAACAGUGGAAGACGGUCUUGCUGUCACUUAUAGAUGGAUCCGCGUCGCAUUAGCUAGUUGGUAAGGUAACGGCUUACCAAGGCAACGAUGCGUAGCCGACCUGAGAGGGUGAUCGGCCACACUGGAACUGAGACACGGUCCAGACUCCUACGGGAGGCAGCAGUAGGGAAUCUUCCGCAAUGGGCGAAAGCCUGACGGAGCAACGCCGCGUGAGUGAAGAAGGUCUUCGGAUCGUAAAACUCUGUUAUUAGGGAAGAACAAAUGUGUAAGUAACUAUGCACGUCUUGACGGUACCUAAUCAGAAAGCCACGGCUAACUACGUG
Molecule: ribosomal RNA, 497 nt
Filed under: uncultured bacterium
Lineage: Bacteria
Description: partial 16S ribosomal RNA
Rfam family: Bacterial small subunit ribosomal RNA
Source: RNAcentral